RNAcentral lists this ribosomal RNA (439 nucleotides) under uncultured bacterium. RNAcentral describes it as "bacterial SSU rRNA". It matches the Rfam family "Bacterial small subunit ribosomal RNA", at positions 958 to 1398 of the family's 1533-position model. The record is from RNAcentral.
AACGCGAAGAACCUUACCUACCCUUGACAUCCAGAGAACUUUGUAGAGAUACGAAGGUGCCGAAAGGAACUCUGAGACAGGUGCUGCAUGGCUGUCGUCAGCUCGUGUUGUGAGAUGUUGGGUUAAGUCCCGUAACGAGCGCAACCCUUAUCCUUAGUUACCAUCAUUUAGUUGGGGACUCUAAGGAGACUGCUGGUGAUGAACCGGAGGAAGGCGGGGACGACGUCAAGUCAUCAUGGCCUUUAUGGGUAGGGCUACACACGUGCUACAAUGGUCGGUACAGAGGGCAGCCAACCCGCGAGGGGGAGCCAAUCCCACAAAGCCGAUCGUAGUCCGGAUCGGAGUCUGCAACUCGACUCCGUGAAGUCGGAAUCGCUAGUAAUCGCGAAUCAGAAUGUCGCGGUGAAUACGUUCCCGGGCCUUGUACACACCGACGCAC